GGAAAGUUAUUUUGCUGUAAAACAGAGAAAAAAAAACAAGUUAAAAGUUAAAAAUAAGCGCUGAGAGCUUAUUUAAAGUCUUUAUUGACUUCUCACUGAACAGAAAACGCAGGAGAGAAACGCUUUUGGUGGAAAAACGCCGGAUUUAUUGGAAUAUUUGCGCUGAUUUGAUAUUGAAGAUGAUCAGCGUUUGAUUCCUCGUCUCUGUGGUGCAGAAAACUGCAGGAAAUGGAACAGAAAAGAAGUUUGGAGGAGAACAAAUAUAAUACACA
This is a long non-coding RNA of Astyanax mexicanus (Mexican tetra), 272 nucleotides long. RefSeq lists it as uncharacterized. The transcript has 2 exons. The record is from RefSeq and is a predicted model, not a curated record. Lineage: Eukaryota; Metazoa; Chordata; Actinopteri; Characiformes; Acestrorhamphidae.